Molecule: non-coding RNA, 144 nt
Organism: Gossypium raimondii (Peruvian cotton)
Lineage: Eukaryota; Viridiplantae; Streptophyta; Magnoliopsida; Malvales; Malvaceae
Source: Rfam
AGUAAAGAAAUCUAUCUAUUUCUACUGUUAAAAUUUGGCAUGAUUGAUAAAAUAACCAAAUAGUUACACGUGGCGUGCAAUGUGCACCUAAUUCUGCGUACAAUGACCAGUUUUUAAUGGUAUAAAUGGAUGAAAUUUUCAAUA